UCUUUGUGAGCCAUUUUCUCCAACACCACCACACAUUUUGACUUCCACCCACUGCCUCCGCCAUAGCCACCGCGGCCAUCGUUGACCUCCACUAAGACCCACUGCCACCACCAUACUUUUUUCCCUCUUUUUUGUUGUUCUAGUUUCUUCAAAGUUUUUGGUUGGAAUCUUUUUGUUGUUCAAGUUUCUUUAGAGUUAGAGAAAACUCUUAUUCAGAUUUGGCUUCUUGUGCAAAAGGACUUGAGGAUCAUGGGCUGAAUCAUU
Molecule: long non-coding RNA, 264 nt
Organism: Quercus robur (English oak)
Lineage: Eukaryota; Viridiplantae; Streptophyta; Magnoliopsida; Fagales; Fagaceae
Exons: 3
Source: RefSeq, a predicted model, not a curated record